This 458-nucleotide ribosomal RNA is filed under the name uncultured bacterium. RNAcentral's name for it is "partial 16S ribosomal RNA". It matches the Rfam family "Bacterial small subunit ribosomal RNA", at positions 338 to 795 of the family's 1533-position model. The record is from RNAcentral.
CCUACGGGAGUCAGCAGUGGGGAAUCUUGCACAAUGGGGGAAACCCUGAUGCAGCGACGCCGCGUGAGUGAAGAAGUAAUUCGUUACGUAAAGCUCUAUCAGCAGGGAAGAAACACUGACCUUGCGGUCAGCAGACGGUACCUGAGUAAGAAGCCCCGGCUACCUACGUGCCAGCAGCCGCGGUAAUACGUAGGGGGCAAGCGUUAUCCGGAUUUACUGGGUGUAAAGGGAGCGUAGAGGGGGCGUCAAGUGUGGAGUGAAAUGCCGCAGCUUAACUGCGGAACUGCUUUGGAAACGGGCGAACGAGAGUGCGGGAGGGGUAAGCGGAAUUCCUAGUGUAGCGGUGAAAGGCGUAGAUAUUAGGAGGAACACCGGUGGCGAAGGCGGCUUACUGGACCGUAACUGACGUUGAGGCUCGAAAGCGUGGGGAGCAAACAGGAGUAGAUACCCCUGUAGUC